Molecule: transfer RNA, 74 nt
Filed under: Anoplolepis gracilipes
Lineage: Eukaryota; Metazoa; Arthropoda; Insecta; Hymenoptera; Formicidae
Description: tRNA-Met
Source: RNAcentral
AAAUAAGUAAGCUAAAUUCCCUAAGCUUUUAGGUUCAUACCCUAAAUAUAGAAAUUCUAUCUUUCUCUUAUUUA